RNAcentral lists this long non-coding RNA (415 nucleotides) under Dromaius novaehollandiae (emu). RNAcentral's name for it is "lncRNA (ENSDNVG00000014903.1)". Lineage: Eukaryota; Metazoa; Chordata; Aves; Casuariiformes; Dromaiidae. The record is from RNAcentral.
AAGAUGGCUAUAAGAAUCUGGARGAUUUUUAUUACAAUAAGCAGAGAGUUUACAGCUGGUUUCCUGUUUGAAUGGUUUUUCCUUGAGCAAUCCCAUACACACACAGUCCUCAACAACAACAGCAACAAAAAAACCCCACAGCAAGUCUGUYAAGAGCACUGGCACAGAUGCCUGAAACAUCUCUCUUCCAGACAGGAGAGGACAGACUGCAGAGCUAUGGGAUUCGCUGCCUGUCUCAGCACAGAAGAAUGGAAAUGAAUGUCUCAGAUGUUGGAUAUCCCAUGACAUGGAACUUCUCUUUCCUAACCAGCACUAAGUCUUACCUCCCAAACAGCACAGAGGAUAACUACAGUUCAUAGCAUCACGAGAAGAAGACAUUUCAGUUUCCGCUUCAGUGAGUAACCAUGAUGGGUUG